GGACAGGUGGUGCAGUGGUAGCACGUUUCGACUCCGUCGAAAAAACCCGAGUUCGACUCUUGGUCUGUUCA
This is a non-coding RNA of Phaeosphaeria sp. MPI-PUGE-AT-0046c, 71 nucleotides long. Lineage: Eukaryota; Fungi; Ascomycota; Dothideomycetes; Pleosporales; Phaeosphaeriaceae. The record is from the annotation of a GenBank genome assembly.